This 253-nucleotide ribosomal RNA is filed under the name uncultured bacterium. RNAcentral describes it as "partial 16S ribosomal RNA". It matches the Rfam family "Bacterial small subunit ribosomal RNA", at positions 524 to 776 of the family's 1533-position model. The record is from RNAcentral.
GACGGAGGAUGCAAGUGUUAUCCGGAAUCACUGGGCGUAAAGCGUCUGUAGGUGGUUUAAUAAGUCAACUGUUAAAUCUUGAGGCUCAACCUCAAAAUCGCAGUCGAAACUAUUAGGCUAGAGUAUAGUAGGGGUAAAGGGAAUUUCCAGUGGAGCGGUGAAAUGCGUAGAGAUUGGAAAGAACACCGAUGGCGAAGGCGCUUUACUGGGCUAUUACUAACACUCAGAGACGAAAGCGAGGGUAGCAAAUGGG